Molecule: long non-coding RNA, 796 nt
Organism: Dioscorea cayenensis subsp. rotundata (Guinea yam)
Lineage: Eukaryota; Viridiplantae; Streptophyta; Magnoliopsida; Dioscoreales; Dioscoreaceae
Exons: 5
Source: RefSeq, a predicted model, not a curated record
CUUCUUCUUCUUCUUCUUCUUCUUCUUCUCAGGUCUCUCGGGAGCCAUUGAAGUAGAGGACGGGACCUUCUCAUUGGGGCAAAGAUGGCGAAGACUCAUGGUAUGGGAGCUGCACGCAAGCUCAAGACGCACAGAAGGAAUCAGAGGUGGGCUGAUAGAACAUACAAGAAGAGUCACCUUGGCAAUGAAUGGAAGAAACCAUUUGCUGGCUAUUCUCAUGCAAAAGGAAUAGUUUUUGAGCAAAAUUGAUACAAGCAGAGGCAUUGAGGCAAAGCAACCCAACUCUGCCAUCCGGAAGUGUGCCCAAGUUCAGUUGAUCAAGAAUGGAAAGAAGAUUGCUGCAUUUGUUCCUAAUGAUAGUUGCUGGCUCUUCUCAUGCUAAAGGAAUAGUUCUUGAGCAAAAUAGGCAUUGAGGCAAGGCAGCCCAACUCUGCCAUCCGGAAGUGUGCCCGAGUUCAGUUGAGCAAGAACGGAAAGAAGAUUGCUGCAUUUGUUCCCAAUGAUGACUGCUUAAACUACAUUGAGGAAAAUGAUGAGGUGUUGAUUCCUGGAGUCAGGUUUAAGGUGGUGAAGGUCUCAGGCGUGUCUUUGUUAGCACUUUUCAAGGAGAAGUAAGAGAAGCCCAGAUCUUAGAGAAUAAUGAAUAUCAAUUCUAAACAAAGUUUUGGAAUUUCAGAAGCCUAUUCCAAUUUGAGAGAACAGUCUCUUUGUAGUAAACAAAUAUAUAUUGUGAUUCUUGUUGCUUAUGAUUAUUAGUUAACAAUUAUGGACUAUGAGACUACUCUUGUCUUGACAU